This 823-nucleotide ribosomal RNA is filed under the name Rhodococcus pyridinivorans. RNAcentral's name for it is "bacterial SSU rRNA". It matches the Rfam family "Bacterial small subunit ribosomal RNA", at positions 70 to 906 of the family's 1533-position model. Lineage: Bacteria; Bacillati; Actinomycetota; Actinomycetes; Mycobacteriales; Nocardiaceae. The record is from RNAcentral.
GAAGCCCAGCUUGCUGGGUGGAUUAGUGGCGAACGGGUGAGUAACACGUGGGUGAUCUGCCCUGCACUCUGGGAUAAGCCUGGGAAACUGGGUCUAAUACCGGAUAUGACCUCGGGAUGCAUGUCCUGGGGUGGAAAGUUUUUCGGUGCAGGAUGAGCCCGCGGCCUAUCAGCUUGUUGGUGGGGUAAUGGCCUACCAAGGCGACGACGGGUAGCCGGCCUGAGAGGGCGACCGGCCACACUGGGACUGAGACACGGCCCAGACUCCUACGGGAGGCAGCAGUGGGGAAUAUUGCACAAUGGGCGCAAGCCUGAUGCAGCGACGCCGCGUGAGGGAUGACGGCCUUCGGGUUGUAAACCUCUUUCACCCAUGACGAAGCGCAAGUGACGGUAGUGGGAGAAGAAGCACCGGCCAACUACGUGCCAGCAGCCGCGGUAAUACGUAGGGUGCGAGCGUUGUCCGGAAUUACUGGGCGUAAAGAGCUCGUAGGCGGUUUGUCGCGUCGUCUGUGAAAUCCCGCAGCUCAACUGCGGGCUUGCAGGCGAUACGGGCAGACUCGAGUACUGCAGGGGAGACUGGAAUUCCUGGUGUAGCGGUGAAAUGCGCAGAUAUCAGGAGGAACACCGGUGGCGAAGGCGGGUCUCUGGGCAGUAACUGACGCUGAGGAGCGAAAGCGUGGGUAGCGAACAGGAUUAGAUACCCUGGUAGUCCACGCCGUAAACGGUGGGCGCUAGGUGUGGGUUUCCUUCCACGGGAUCCGUGCCGUAGCCAACGCAUUAAGCGCCCCGCCUGGGGAGUACGGCCGCAAGGCUAAAACUCAAAG